ACAGGCCUAUGAUGGUUAGUUAUCCCUGUCUGAAAAUUUCAACUGAGGGAAAAUAAUCUAUUCUGAGGCUUGG
This 73-nucleotide small nucleolar RNA is filed under the name Nannospalax galili (Upper Galilee mountains blind mole rat). Its description in RNAcentral is "Small nucleolar RNA R38 (ENSNGAG00000001510.1)". It matches the Rfam family "Small nucleolar RNA R38". Rfam says of the family: snoR38 is a C/D box small nucleolar RNA conserved across yeast, human, Arabidopsis and rice. The record is from Rfam by way of RNAcentral. Lineage: Eukaryota; Metazoa; Chordata; Mammalia; Rodentia; Spalacidae.